RNAcentral lists this ribosomal RNA (301 nucleotides) under uncultured bacterium. RNAcentral's name for it is "partial 16S ribosomal RNA". It matches the Rfam family "Bacterial small subunit ribosomal RNA", at positions 509 to 807 of the family's 1533-position model. The record is from RNAcentral.
CAGCAGCCGCGGUAAUACGGAGGAUCCAAGCGUUAUCCGGAAUCAUUGGGUUUAAAGGGUCCGUAGGCGGUCUUGUAAGUCAGUGGUGAAAGCCCAUCGCUCAACGGUGGAACGGCCAUUGAUACUGCAGGACUUGAAUUAUUGGGAAGUAACUAGAAUAUGUAGUGUAGCGGUGAAAUGCUUAGAGAUUACAUGGAAUACCAAUUGCGAAGGCAGGUUACUACCAAUUGAUUGACGCUGAUGGACGAAAGCGUGGGUAGCGAACAGGAUUAGAUACCCCAGUAGUCCCUGUCUCUUAUAC